This 490-nucleotide ribosomal RNA is filed under the name uncultured bacterium. RNAcentral describes it as "partial 16S ribosomal RNA". It matches the Rfam family "Bacterial small subunit ribosomal RNA", at positions 30 to 507 of the family's 1533-position model. The record is from RNAcentral.
AUUGAACGCUGGCGGCAGGCCUAACACAUGCAAGUCGAACGGUAACAGAAAGCAUCUUGCUGCUUUUCUGACGAGUGGCGGACGGGUGAGUAAUGUCUGGGAAACUGCCUGAUGGAGGGGGAUAACUACUGGAAACGGUAGCUAAUACCGCAUAACGUCGCAAGACCAAAGAGGGGGACCUUCGGGCCUCUUGCCAUCGGAUGUGCCCAGAUGGGAUUAGCUAGUAGGUGGGGUAAAGGCUCACCUAGGCGACGAUCCCUAGCUGGUCUGAGAGGAUGACCAGCGACACUGGAACUGAGACACGGUCCAGACUCCUACGGGAGGCAGCAGUGGGGAAUAUUGAACAAUGGGCGCAAGCCGGAUGCAGCCAUGCCGCGUGUAUGAAGAAGGCCUUCGGGUUGUAAAGUACCUUCAGCGGGGAGGAAGGGAGUAAAGUUAAUACCGUUGCUCAUUGACGUUACCCGCAGAAGAAGCACCGGCUAACUCCGUG